GCCGUCGCUGGGCGACGGGACGUACACCGCGACCUACCGGGUCGUCUCGGCCGACGGCCACGUCGUCAGCGGCGGCA
RNAcentral lists this transfer RNA (77 nucleotides) under Capillimicrobium parvum. RNAcentral's name for it is "tRNA-Gly". Lineage: Bacteria; Bacillati; Actinomycetota; Thermoleophilia; Solirubrobacterales; Capillimicrobiaceae. The record is from RNAcentral.